CACGUAGGGCGCAAGCGUUGUCCGGAAUUAUUGGGCGUAAAGAGCUCGUAGGCGGUCUGUUGCGUCCGCUGUGAAAACCCGGGGCUCAACCCCGGGCCUGCAGUCGAUACGGGCAGACUAGAGUGUGGUAGGGGAGACUGGAAUUCCUGGUGUAGCGGUGAAAUGCGCAGAUAUCAGGAGGAACACCCGUGGCGAAAGCGGCGCGCUGGACCACUACUGACGCUGAGGCGCGAAAGCCAGGGGAGCAAACGGG
RNAcentral lists this ribosomal RNA (253 nucleotides) under uncultured bacterium. RNAcentral describes it as "partial 16S ribosomal RNA". It matches the Rfam family "Bacterial small subunit ribosomal RNA", at positions 524 to 776 of the family's 1533-position model. The record is from RNAcentral.